AAGCAGGGGAUCGUAAGACCUUGCGCUUUUGGAGCGGCCGAUGCCUGAUUAGCUAGUUGGUGGGGUAAAAGCCUACCAAGGCAACGAUCAGUAGUUGGUCUGAGAGGACGACCAGCCACACUGGGACUGAGACACGGCCCAGACUCCUACGGGAGGCAGCAGUGGGGAAUUUUGGACAAUGGGCGAAAGCCUGAUCCAGCAAUGCCGCGUGAGUGAAGAAGGCCUUCGGGUUGUAAAGCUCUUUCAGUCGAGAAGAAAAGGUUGUGAUGAAUAAUCACAACUCAUGACGGUAUCGACAGAAGAAGCACCGGCUAACUACGUGCCAGCAGCCGCGGUAAUACGUAGGGUGCAAGCGUUAAUCGGAAUUACUGGGCGUAAAGGGUGCGCAGGCGGCUUUGUAAGUCAGAUGUGAAAUCCCCGGGCUUAACCUGGGAAUUGCGUUUGAAACUACAAAGCUAGA
This 460-nucleotide ribosomal RNA is filed under the name uncultured beta proteobacterium. RNAcentral describes it as "bacterial SSU rRNA". It matches the Rfam family "Bacterial small subunit ribosomal RNA", at positions 202 to 645 of the family's 1533-position model. Lineage: Bacteria; Pseudomonadati; Pseudomonadota; Betaproteobacteria. The record is from RNAcentral.